Molecule: ribosomal RNA, 253 nt
Filed under: uncultured bacterium
Lineage: Bacteria
Description: partial 16S ribosomal RNA
Rfam family: Bacterial small subunit ribosomal RNA
Source: RNAcentral
UACAGAGGUCUCAAGCGUUGUUCGGAUUCAUUGGGCGUAAAGGGUGCGUAGGUGGCGCGCUAAGUCAGGUGUGAAAUUUCGGAGCUUAACUCCGAAACUGCAUUUGAUACUGGCGUGCUUGAGGACUGGAGAGGAGACUGGAAUUCAUGGUGUAGCAGUGAAAUGCGUAGAGAUCAUGAGGAAGACCAGUGGCGAAGGCGGGUCUCUGGACAGUUCCUGACGCUGAGGCGCGAAGGCCAGGGGAGCAAACGGG